Molecule: ribosomal RNA, 429 nt
Filed under: Fusobacteriota bacterium
Lineage: Bacteria; Fusobacteriati; Fusobacteriota
Description: Fusobacteria bacterium partial 16S ribosomal RNA
Rfam family: Bacterial small subunit ribosomal RNA
Source: RNAcentral
UGGGGAAUCUUCCGCAAUGGACGAAAGUCUGACGGAGCAACGCCGCGUGAGUGAAGACGGCCUUCGGGUUGUAAAGCUCUGUGAUCCGGGACGAAAGAGCCUGAGGUGAAUAGCCUAAGGAAGUGACGGUACCGGAAAAGCAAGCCACGGCUAACUACGUGCCAGCAGCCGCGGUAAUACGUAGGUGGCAAGCGUUGUCCGGAAUUAUUGGGCGUAAAGCGCGCGCAGGCGGCUUCCUAAGUCCAUCUUAAAAGUGCGGGGCUUAACCCCGUGAUGGGCUGGAAACUGGGAAGCUGGAGUAUCGGAGAGGAAAGUGGAAUUCCUAGUGUAGCGGUGAAAUGCGUAGAGAUUAGGAAGAACACCGGUGGCGAAGGCGACUUUCUGGACGAAAACUGACGCUGAGGCGCGAAAGCGUGGGGAGCAAACAGG